This 937-nucleotide long non-coding RNA is filed under the name Zostera marina. RNAcentral describes it as "long non-coding RNA (ZMAR_LNC005130)". Lineage: Eukaryota; Viridiplantae; Streptophyta; Magnoliopsida; Alismatales; Zosteraceae. The record is from RNAcentral.
UCCACCUAUAAACCUCGCCCCUCGAUCGCUCCUCCGAUCAUUGACCACUCAUUCAUUCUCCAUUCCGAUCUUUCCUUCCUUCCUUCCGAUCCAACGAUGGUUGCAGCGUCGAGCAAGGGGUCACCGGCGUUCCGAUGCGGCCGGCCGAAGUCGAGUCUGAGGAAGAGAUGGAAGGCGAUGGUGAAGCAACAGAAGACAAGAUCCUACAUCUUCUGCCGUUGCAUCGCCAUUCUCCUUUGCUGGCAUGCACACGAGUAAAAUCUCUCUCCUCCGUCGAGCUUGGAUCGUCGUCGAUCAAAUGUACAUAGGUUUUGACGCCCGGAGAAGAAGAAGAAGAAGAAGAAGAAGAAAGAACCCAAGUCACCACCAGUCACCACUCUCCACCAUCGUCACCUUCUAAAUCUCUUUGUAACUUGAUUAAUUCCCUUCUGUAAUCUCAAUUAAUCUCUUUGUCGCUUUCAUGCACUCGUGCAUCUGGAAACUCAGAUUCUGGUAUGAAGAAUAGAAUAAAUUAAAAAUAAAAUUAUGGUAAAUUCUUGAUUACAGAAGUUCUACUUCUACUGCUGCUGAUUCUUAUGCACAUGGAUGUAGCUACUAGCUACCUACCGGAUUGAUACCAUGGAGAUGGUAUCCAUGGUAUCAGUGCAUUACGCAUCAGGUCAGUUGGUAAUAAACACUAUUAAGAUGAUUGAAAAUUUAAGAUUCGAGUAUCACUAAACUUAUCAGAAAAGAAAAGAUGGUAUCAUAAUUCAUGGAAUCAUGGGUCAGGUAGCUGAUUGAGACAUCUCUUGCCCUGCUAGCUCUCAUGGCUCCACCAGAAUUCAAUAUUGCAGUUACAUUCAGCAACAAAACAAAUUACAAAGGACAAAACCCCAAGGGGACAAGCCAGGUGAGGCUGAGCUGUACCUGGAUGUGUAUAUGGAUAAUCUUCAAAUUU